Anas platyrhynchos (mallard) is the source of this 1375-nucleotide non-coding RNA. The record is from RefSeq and is a predicted model, not a curated record. Lineage: Eukaryota; Metazoa; Chordata; Aves; Anseriformes; Anatidae.
UCAAAGGCAGCUUUGCAAAGCACCAAGUGGACCUUCUGUUCCACGGGCAGCUGAGCAUCCCAGAGCCUACAGGUGGAGCUUUAAUACCCGCCCUCAUUCAGAGCUUUGUGGAGAUGAAUAGUUCCACGCAAAUAUAAAGAAGAGAUUAGCAAACUUCUCAACCGUGAUCAUCCACAAAGAGAAAACGCAGCAGAAUCCAACUGCCCACAGACAGAAAGAAGCAAGUGCAGUUAUGUACCACAGGACUAAAGUAAAAGGAAACCUACUGUGUGUACACAGCUCCAACCAUUGAAGCUGGAAAGGCAUCAGAAGGGUCCUUCUGUUACUAACAGCAUUAAGUGGGAGUCGGAUCUCCACUGUACUUCAGCUCUGCUUGUACCUCACCACCAGACUGUCUAUACAGCACACUAACACUAUUACUCCUGCACAGGAUCACUGUAAUGCUUCCUGACAACUUCAAAACACAAAGUAAAUAACCAGUGCUUUCUAUUCAUCACAUGGUCUGCAGCUGAGAUGCGCCACGAAGAUACUGGGUUAUUAUUAUACACAAGCUAAGUUUUCAGAGCUGUCUUGAGACCUCCCUUAGGCUCUGUAGGGAGUUGCUACACUCUGAUGUUCAAGAUGAAUUGGGAUCCAACCACACUGGUCUGUAUGACCAUUUCAACCUACUGCAUUUUGUAGGAUUUGGCUCCAUAUUCUAAUACUGUGUCUUAGAAUAUUUCUCUGGAAAAAAAAAAAAAAGACCAAAAAUUGCAAGAGAUCCAACAACAUUUUAAUAAAAUGUUCUCUCUAUGCUUCCAGAUGAAAGACAUAUCUGAUGUCAAAGCACCACAAACUAAAUGCAAUUUAAAUAACUACACUAAAAUUCUCAGGCUAACACAAUUGCCACAUUGGGAGAGGGAAGAAAAAAACAAAACAAAACAAAACAAAACAAAACAAACAAAAAAAAAAACUCUAAAAUCAAUCAGCUGGUACCCUUCAGCCCAGAAAAUCCAACCUGUGAUUUGACAUACAUUUUUAAAUACUAACUUUUCUCAGCUAACUCACAACACUUACUGCACUAGAACUCCAUAACUUGUUCAGAAUAUACCCAAAACAUACCACAAAAUCAGAUGUCCACAGGGUAUGGAGAAGUAUGGACUGGACUUGAGUUGACAUAAACCAUUAAAUGAAAUCAAAGGAAAUGACAAGAGCCAUCAGGUAUGGUUUUCUUCCACAGUGAAAGUGAUUUAUUUGCUAACUAUAAACCAAACAUUCACGUACUGGUAAAAGCUUUCCAUCUGAUGACUUAAAAGCAUGUGUUUUGACCAGUGUAAAACCACCACUACAUCUCCUUUGCUUAGUAGUGUUCUUACAUUUCAGUGACUUGGUCAUC